UACGUAGGGGGCAAGCGUUGUCCGGAUUUAUUGGGCGUAAAGAGCGUGUAGGCGGCCAGAUAGGUCCGUUGUGAAAACUGGAGGCUUAACCUCCAGCUGUCGAUGGAAACCAUCUGGCUAGAGUCCGGAAGAGGAGAGUGGAAUUCCUGGUGUAGCGGUGAAAUGCGCAGAUAUCAGGAGGAACACCAAUGGCGAAGGCAGCUCGCUGGGACGGUACUGACGCUGAGGCGCGAAAGCGUGGGGAGCGAACAGG
Molecule: ribosomal RNA, 253 nt
Filed under: uncultured bacterium
Lineage: Bacteria
Description: partial 16S ribosomal RNA
Rfam family: Bacterial small subunit ribosomal RNA
Source: RNAcentral